GAUGAAGAACGUAGCGAAAUGCGAUAAGUAAUGUGAAUUGCAGAAUUCAGUGAAUCAUCGAAUCUUUGAACGCACAUUGCGCCCCAUGGUAUUCCUUGGGGCAUGCCUGUUCGAGCGUCACUACAAACCCGCUCAUACAUAUUAUAUGGUAUUGAUGGAAGUGGACCGUGGUUACUAAUAAUGUAUCUGGAUCACCCCAUUGAAAUGUAUAGGCAGGACAGUAAACCUCUGCAAUGGACUUAGUAACUGUUGUGAAAACAUAGACCAGUCCUUUGCCUGGUUCCAGCCUGGCCUCCAUGGACCUCUAUCCAAGAUGAACUCUGGGUUGACCUCGGAUCAGGUAGGGAUACCCGCUGAACUUAAGCAUAUCAAUAAGCGGAGGA
This 383-nucleotide unclassified non-coding RNA is filed under the name soil metagenome. RNAcentral describes it as "partial contains 5.8S ribosomal RNA, internal transcribed spacer 2, and large subunit ribosomal RNA". The stretch from base 1 to 120 matches the Rfam family "5.8S ribosomal RNA", at positions 35 to 154 of the family's 154-position model. The record is from RNAcentral.